Molecule: ribosomal RNA, 253 nt
Filed under: uncultured bacterium
Lineage: Bacteria
Description: partial 16S ribosomal RNA
Rfam family: Bacterial small subunit ribosomal RNA
Source: RNAcentral
UACAGAGGCCUCGAGCGUUAGGCGGAAUCACUGGGCUUAAAGCGUGUGUAGGCGGAUUGGUAAGUACCUUGUGAAAUCCCACAGCUUAACUGUGGAACUGCUCGGUAAACUGCUGAUCUUGAGCCACUCAGGGGCUACCGGAACAAAUGGUGGAGCGGUGAAAUGCGUAGAUAUCAUUUGGAACGCCAAUGGUGAAAACAGGUAGCUGGGGGUGUGCUGACGCUGAGACACGAAAGCCAGGGGAGCAAACGGG